GUCCAGCUGACGAGUCUCAAAUAGGUCGAAAUAUACGUCUUGGAU
Schistosoma rodhaini is the source of this 45-nucleotide non-coding RNA. Lineage: Eukaryota; Metazoa; Platyhelminthes; Trematoda; Strigeidida; Schistosomatidae. The record is from Rfam.